RNAcentral lists this ribosomal RNA (581 nucleotides) under Microbacterium sp. Hp78. RNAcentral describes it as "bacterial SSU rRNA". It matches the Rfam family "Bacterial small subunit ribosomal RNA", at positions 159 to 754 of the family's 1533-position model. The record is from RNAcentral. Lineage: Bacteria; Bacillati; Actinomycetota; Actinomycetes; Micrococcales; Microbacteriaceae.
GCUCUGAAUACUGGAUAUGUGACGUGACCGCAUGGUCUGCGUCUGGAAAGAAUUUCGGUUGGGGAUGGGCUCGCGGCCUAUCAGCUUGUUGGUGAGGUAAUGGCUCACCAAGGCGUCGACGGGUAGCCGGCCUGAGAGGGUGACCGGCCACACUGGGACUGAGACACGGCCCAGACUCCUACGGGAGGCAGCAGUGGGGAAUAUUGCACAAUGGGCGCAAGCCUGAUGCAGCAACGCCGCGUGAGGGACGACGGCCUUCGGGUUGUAAACCUCUUUUAGCAGGGAAGAAGCGAAAGUGACGGUACCUGCAGAAAAAGCGCCGGCUAACUACGUGCCAGCAGCCGCGGUAAUACGUAGGGCGCAAGCGUUAUCCGGAAUUAUUGGGCGUAAAGAGCUCGUAGGCGGUUUGUCGCGUCUGCUGUGAAAUCCGGAGGCUCAACCUCCGGCCUGCAGUGGGUACGGGCAGACUAGAGUGCGGUAGGGGAGAUUGGAAUUCCUGGUGUAGCGGUGGAAUGCGCAGAUAUCAGGAGGAACACCGAUGGCGAAGGCAGAUCUCUGGGCCGUAACUGACGCUGAGGAGC